CUCCUUGAUUCAGCGGCGGACGGGCGAGUAAUGCCUAGGAAUCUGCCUGGUAGUGGGGGACAACGUUUCGAAAGGAACGCUAAUACCGCAUACGUCCUACGGGAGAAAGCAGGGGACCUUCGGGCCUUGCGCUAUCAGAUGAGCCUAGGUCGGAUUAGCUUGUUGGUGAGGUAAUGGCUCACCAAGGCGACGAUCCGUAACUGGUCUGAGAGGAUGAUCAGUCACACUGGAACUGAGACACGGUCCAGACUCCUACGGGAGGCAGCAGUGGGGAAUAUUGGACAAUGGGCGAAAGCCUGAUCCAGCCAUGCCGGGUGUGUGAAGAAGGUCUUCGGAUUGUAAAGCACUUUAAGUUGGGAGGAAGGGUUGUAGAUUAAUACUCUGCAAUUUUGACGUUACCGACAGAAUAAGCACCGGCUAACUCUGUGCCAGCAGCCGCGGUAAUACAGAGGGUGCAAGCGUUAAUC
Molecule: ribosomal RNA, 467 nt
Filed under: Pseudomonas parafulva
Lineage: Bacteria; Pseudomonadati; Pseudomonadota; Gammaproteobacteria; Pseudomonadales; Pseudomonadaceae
Description: bacterial SSU rRNA
Rfam family: Bacterial small subunit ribosomal RNA
Source: RNAcentral